This 259-nucleotide ribosomal RNA is filed under the name uncultured bacterium. Its description in RNAcentral is "partial 16S ribosomal RNA". It matches the Rfam family "Bacterial small subunit ribosomal RNA", at positions 96 to 354 of the family's 1533-position model. The record is from RNAcentral.
UGGCGGACGGGUGAGUAACGCGUGAGGAACCUGCCUCAGAGUGGGGGGAUAACACACCGAAAGGUGUGCUAAUACCGCAUAACAUAUGGGAGGGGCAUCCCUUUCAUAUCAAAGAUUUAUUGCUCUGAGAUGGCCUCGCGUCCAAUUAGCUAGUUGGCGGGGUAACGGCCCACCAAGGCGACGAUUGGUAGCCGGACUGAGAGGUUGAACGGCCACAUUGGGACUGAGACACGGCCCAGACUCCUACGGAAGGCAGCAG